GCCAGCGGUGCUUACAACGAAGAUCCAAUGGUCUGGGACUUGAUUUGAGUUUUAACAGGGCUCGAAGAUCGUUCUUGAGUCAAAUUGGCCUGACUGGAGGUCUUUAAAAGAUCCUAUGGGCAGCAGUCGAGAACAGAGCGUGACAGAGAGCUUCUGUGGUCGCCUGAGAGCAACAAAGAGUUGUGAGAGAGGGAUUCUCCCGAGUGCUUUUGUAAGGGGUGUAUGUGAGGUCUUCUAAGAGAGAAGAGAGGUGUUCACAAGAGAUAGAAGAAAGGUUUCUUCCAAGAGAGAAGAGGAAGCGUACAAGGCUAGAGGAAGGAUUUUCUUCUGGAAGGCGCCACCUGCAAAGAGAGGUUUGCUCUUGUUUUUUCUUCUCCUAUUUUACCCCUGUAAAUUCCCUGCUAUUACAUAAAAAAAAACAUAUAUUCUAUGCGGCCAAGGACGUAGGAGUAAAAGACUCCGAACCACGUAAAAUCCCUUGUGUUUUGUUUUGUGCUUGUAUAUUUUUUCAAUUUUUCUUUCCCUUCUCCUACAACUACUGUAAUCCACUGCACAUCGCCCCCUAACAGGCCAUUGACUAUGUUUGACUCAUAACAAAUAAGAGCUAGAGGCUUACCUUCCUGCUUUUCUUUUUUUUCUAUCUAAGACUUGAACUUACGGCACUGGCUCCUUAUAUAGCCUUUCUUCUAAUAGUAAAAAUAUCUGACAUUUUUUUUAAUGGCAGGUUUGGGGCCUCCUACAGAACGAUUCUGACCAGGGUUGUUAUCAUGUCCUUUAG
RNAcentral lists this long non-coding RNA (778 nucleotides) under Elaeis guineensis (African oil palm). RNAcentral describes it as "long non-coding RNA (EGUI_LNC070678)". The record is from RNAcentral. Lineage: Eukaryota; Viridiplantae; Streptophyta; Magnoliopsida; Arecales; Arecaceae.